Octodon degus (degu) is the source of this 139-nucleotide long non-coding RNA. RefSeq lists it as uncharacterized. The transcript is spliced from 2 exons. Lineage: Eukaryota; Metazoa; Chordata; Mammalia; Rodentia; Octodontidae. The record is from RefSeq and is a predicted model, not a curated record.
CGCGUAGCCCGGACACUUCCGCUGUCCGCUGUUGAACCCGCGGCCUGCGUUUGUCUUAGGGAGGUUUUGCUACAUUAGCUGGAAUACUCUAAAUUUAUGAACCCUUUUGAGAAAAUCUUCCAUUUCCAUCCCGUUUUUC